CUAUUUCUCUCUCUUACACAUCCUUCUUUCUUCCUUCUUCCUUCUUCAUUCUUCCUCUUCUUCUUCUUCUUCUUCUUCUUCUUCCUCUUUUUCUUAUGUCUUCUACCUCGUCUUUUUCUUCCUUCUUUCUUCUUCGUUCUUUCUAUUAACAAUAUCGCUAACGAAGCCCUAGCCGAAGUCAAAAAAGACAUCAAAGUCUUUCUACAGAUGUCGGGUUGCUCUCGUCGCAUUUGUGAACCGACAUCCACCAUUUGGGGUCUGAAUAAUUCACACAUGCUAAUUAAAUGGUCAUUGGAGAGAGGUUGUCUAAGGAAGAAAUUAGUGGUUUGA
Non-coding RNA from Vicia faba (fava bean), 330 nucleotides. The record is from the annotation of a GenBank genome assembly. NCBI's taxonomy places the organism in Eukaryota, Viridiplantae, Streptophyta, Magnoliopsida, Fabales, Fabaceae.